This 606-nucleotide long non-coding RNA is filed under the name Ananas comosus (pineapple). Its description in RNAcentral is "long non-coding RNA (ACOM_LNC022156)". The record is from RNAcentral. Lineage: Eukaryota; Viridiplantae; Streptophyta; Magnoliopsida; Poales; Bromeliaceae.
UGAGAAGAAGUAAGAAUUGUAAAUUUUUACUAUAAUUUAUAUCCGCCGCAUUGUGCGGGUUGUUACACUAGUUUAUUUUAACUAACAAUACGCAGUGCAGUUGACUAUAAGAGAUUGAUAACUGAUACGCGAGAUCUCAAAUUCCAAACUUAAUUGCUUCAUAUUUUAGGUUGAGUUUAUUUUUUAAAAAAUAAACAAAAUAGAUAGCUCACUACUUUUCUCUCAGAACAAAAAGCUAUUUAUUUUACAUGUGCAUCAAAUAUUGUGUUAAAGAACUAUAGUCUAAACUCUUGAGUAAGGGCUUUUUUUGCAUUUAGUCUCAUGACAAAUUUUUAUUUUAAAAAUAGCCAUGUCAAAAUUUAAUUUGCAAAAAUGGCCCUGGGCUUGCCACGCAGGCGCCACGUUAGCGCCACGCGGGCGGGACCAAGGCCAAUGUGUUAAGUUAAAUACGGUGAACCAUUCACCUUGUUUAGACACGGUGAAUGGUUCACCGUGUUUAGUAUGUAUAUUUUGUAUAUUGAAGAAAGAGGAAUAUAGAAUAGGGAUGUCAAUAGGUAUGGAUAUCCGAAAUAUUAUCCGAAUACAAAUCCGAAUAAAUUAUAUAUA